Molecule: long non-coding RNA, 2058 nt
Organism: Panicum virgatum (switchgrass)
Lineage: Eukaryota; Viridiplantae; Streptophyta; Magnoliopsida; Poales; Poaceae
Exons: 4
Source: RefSeq, a predicted model, not a curated record
ACCAAACUAGCGGCCUCGAACAGCAAUAAUCGAUGCAAAAAUCAGGCGUGAUGCCAUCCAAUCGGACGGCCCGAGCGCGUCGCUGCGGUGCGUCCCUCCUCUUUCUCCCUUCACCUCACCUCUCCGUCUCUUGCUCGCACCCCUUGUUCCCUUGCGGCGACGAUUGGGAGAGCCGCCGCCCUUCGCCAGCGACAAACACCCACCAGGGUUCUCAUUCAUGGCCUCCCAUUUCCUUUAAGGGAAUGGAAUUCAAAUUGAACAUAGAACAGCAACAUAUGAACUGAUUCAGAAGCACAAAACCCAUAAUAAUGCAGUGGGAUGAAAGGGGAAAACUACCUGCAGAAAACCACAGGUUAGUACCUCUUCAUCAAAGGAACAAAUACACAUCACAGAACUUUACACUGUCAGCAUUAGUCUGAACUCUGAAAUAGAUAGAUAUUGAAGUUAUGAACUGAGUAGCAUGUCUUGUUACCACCUUUUGGACUUGUAGUGAAGAUUAUACCCUAAUUAUGCUCUGCAAUCCUUACAUUCGAAGGCUUUCGAGAAAGUUCCUGUGCUUGUUGUCCAUAUUAGCUGUGAGAUGGUCAAGGAAGUCACUGAAGCUGCUCUCUUUGUACUUUGGUGGAUUUUCUUCGUCCACUAGCUCCUUGGCACAGGACUUCCAUGUGGUCACCAAUCUGAACAUGCAAAGCGUGUGGAAGUUGCUGAACCCUUGUCCAGAUGUUGCUGCUGGGGUCAACAACUUCAAGGCCCCCACAACUUGUGAGCAAGAUGGUAAGAAAUCCAUAAUCAGAAUGUGGAGCCAGCCCUAUAGUCGUGGCACUUUGUGAUGCUUUAGCGUAGCAGUUCACUGACAAUAGUUGGGAGCCUUCAUGAAAUUUCUCAUUCAGGUAUUCCUUGCCCAAUCCUAGGCCUUCUACUAUUGCUUCCAUCAGUUGCAAAGCCACCAUCCUUACUUCAGAAGCAUACUUUCCCAUGUAUUUCCUGGUUUCAGUAAGCGAAAAUGGGUCAUAUCAAUUCUUAGAAACAUGUUCUGCUCAUUUUGUAGUUCUGGUUUGUAAAACGAUUUUUUUAUAUAAAAAAACUGUUUACCUGUAGAUUGGUGGUUGUUGUGGCCAAUAUUGAAUCCAUUCGCUGAGUGGAUGGGCAUAAUGCUUUAGGAAUGCCCUGGACAUGCUAAUGCUAUCUUUUGAGCUUGUAUCAUAUCUAACAGGUCGUCGAAGGUCCUCCGAUGCAAACUUUUCCUUUGUCUCAUUUGGUAGUUUGAAGAAAUCUGAAGCUGCUUCAAGAGCACAAUCCAUGACAGAUUGACUGAUCCCAUGGUUUAUAACCUGCGAAAUGGAGCAAUCAUCAGAUAUUAGGAAAGGGAAGUAAGCUAUCUUUGUUCCCUUAUAGUGAGGAUCUGGCAGUGGUUUAUGAAGAGGCAAUAGAUCAAGAUCUCUUCUGAAAACAAAAUUUGGCAUCACACCCUAAAAACUGACCACGACAGAUGGGACAUCUUACAAUCUGCCAUCCAAAGUUCUAAAAUGACCUUCCCUGGAGUUCGUAAUGGAAAUUCUAGCCAUUUUGAUGAAAACUGAAGGGCAAGAUAGGAAUUGGAGUUCUUGUCAACCUAGAGCUGGUCCUCCUCACUUCCAGUACUUUCACUUCAGUAAAAUUAACUAGCUGGUUCACCCGGUCAAUUGUCAAAGGCUCUACAUAUACUCCAAAUCUCGCACAACUUAAAGCAUCGGACUCUUAAUUUUUGGAGCAAAAAGUGCGAAUGUAGUUCAUGAAACAAUGCAGUUGACAAGAGACAAUGUUUGUAUCAUAAUCAUCUGGAUGUAUUAAUAGUGAGAUGAUAUCAGAGCUAGCUGCUGGGUUCAAAAGAAGGUCUGAUGUCAGAGCUUCUUAAGCUGUUUAUCUUCUGUAGAAUUGCUUCAAGAUUAUGUUAGUUUGUCAGUUUUUGCCUUGUACAAGUGACAAGUCAGCUUCCUCGGUACACUCCAGCAGAGGUCACAGGUGGCAAUAUUAAUAAUCAGUCUCAGACAAAGGAAAAGGUCAAGGCAAAGACAAGGA